RNAcentral lists this ribosomal RNA (435 nucleotides) under uncultured bacterium. RNAcentral describes it as "partial 16S ribosomal RNA". It matches the Rfam family "Bacterial small subunit ribosomal RNA", at positions 28 to 507 of the family's 1533-position model. The record is from RNAcentral.
GAUGAACGCUGGCGGUAUGCUUAACACAUGCAAGUCGAACGGACUCUUCGGAGUUAGUGGCGGACGGGUGAGUAACGCGUGAGAAUCUGGCUUUGGGUUCGGGACAACCACUGGAAACGGUGGCUAAUACCGGAUGUGCCGAGAGGUAAAAGAGAAAUUGCCUGAAGAUGAGCUCGCGUCUGAUUAGCUAGUUGGUGAGGUAAAGGCUCACCAAGGCAGCGAUCAGUAGCUGGUCUGAGAGGAUGACCAGCCACCCUGGGACUGAGACACGGCCCAGACUCCUACGGGAGGAAGCAGUGAGGAAUUUUCCGCAAUGGGCGAAAGCCUGACGGAGCAAUUCCGCGUGAGGGAAGAAGGCUCUUGGGUUGUAAACCUCUUUUCUUAGGGAAGAACAAAAUGACGGUACCUAAGGAAUCAGCAUCGGCUAACUCCGUG